UACGUAGGGCGCGAGCGUUAUCCGGAAUUAUUGGGCGUAAAGAGCUCGUAGGCGGUUUGUCAAGUCUGCUGUGAAAGCCCGGGGCUCAACUCCGGGUGUGCAGUGGGUACGGGCAGACUAGAGUGCAGAAGGGGAGACUGGAAUUCCUGGUGUAGCGGUGAAAUGCGCAGAUAUCAGGAGGAACACCGAUGGCGAAGGCAGGUCUCUGUGCUGUUACUGACGUUGAGGAGCGAAAGCAUGGGGAGCAAACAGG
This 253-nucleotide unclassified non-coding RNA is filed under the name uncultured Micrococcaceae bacterium. RNAcentral's name for it is "contains 16S-23S intergenic spacer region". It matches the Rfam family "Bacterial small subunit ribosomal RNA", at positions 524 to 776 of the family's 1533-position model. The record is from RNAcentral. Lineage: Bacteria; Bacillati; Actinomycetota; Actinomycetes; Micrococcales; Micrococcaceae.